AUGUCCUCGACAGCCCCUCACCAUUUCCCCUUGCCCGCACGCCGCAUCCCCUCCCUCCUCGAUCUCUCUCCCUCAUCAGCCACCAAAGCAACAAACCCUAGCCCCCUUUCCCCACGGUUCCCCAUGGUCACCGUGCCUCUCACUCCUCCCUCCUGCCUCAUCCACCUUCCCUCCUUAGAUGCCAUGGUGGCAGCCGGGCCAGGGCGGGGGAAGAAAGCCAUGGGGAGUCCGCCGGUAGGAGGAUUGGAGGAAGUAGUAGAGGCUGGUGGAGUGACAGAUGCCGAGGGCCUCGUCCAGGCGGCCGCCUCCGGCCUCGGCCCCGCCGCCUCCCAUUAUGACGAGCUGUUCCGCGUCAUGCGCGCGGUCGACAAGGAUCUCCGGGGCGCCGCCGCCGGCCCGGAGGAGAACGAGAUGAAACGCCAACGUUCGCUUGGCCGAGGCUUGCUUGGGGAGCUGUCGACAAGCCGGCGGGGUGAGCUACUGUCUGGUCCCCUGUUGCCGACGACCGUGGUGUCGAGCAAGAGCGGGUCGUGUCGUCAUGGGAAGAGGCUCAAUGGCUCACCAUCGAAGAGCCGUCGUAGGAGCCACAAGGUCAAAAAAGCUACAGACGGGAGGAGGUCGGGAUGGAACUACCUCUUCCCCAUGAGCUCAUGA
RNAcentral lists this ribosomal RNA (654 nucleotides) under Triticum aestivum (bread wheat). Its description in RNAcentral is "partial small subunit ribosomal RNA". Lineage: Eukaryota; Viridiplantae; Streptophyta; Magnoliopsida; Poales; Poaceae. The record is from RNAcentral.